This 24-nucleotide non-coding RNA is filed under the name Rattus norvegicus (Norway rat). The record is from RNAcentral. Lineage: Eukaryota; Metazoa; Chordata; Mammalia; Rodentia; Muridae.
AAUAACCUUCAGGAUUCUCUCUCC